Molecule: ribosomal RNA, 532 nt
Filed under: Pseudomonas luteola
Lineage: Bacteria; Pseudomonadati; Pseudomonadota; Gammaproteobacteria; Pseudomonadales; Pseudomonadaceae
Also listed under: 1 other name
Description: partial 23S ribosomal RNA
Rfam family: Bacterial large subunit ribosomal RNA
Source: RNAcentral
GGUCAAGUGAAUAAGCGCAUACGGUGGAUGCCUUGGCAGUCAGAGGCGAUGAAAGACGUGAUAGCCUGCGAUAAGCUUCGGGGAGUCGGCAAAUAGACUGUGAUCCGGAGAUCUCUGAAUGGGGGAACCCACCUGACAUAAGUCAGGUAUCUCACACUGAAUCCAUAGGUGUGAGAGGCGAACCAGGGGAACUGAAACAUCUAAGUACCCUGAGGAAAAGAAAUCAACCGAGAUUCCCUAAGUAGUGGCGAGCGAACGGGGACUAGCCCUUAAGCUCAAUUGAUUUUAACCGAACGCUCUGGAAAGUGCGGCCAUAGUGGGUGAUAGCCCCGUAGGUGAAAGGAUCUUUUGAGUGAAAUCGAGUAGGACGGCGCACGUGAAACGUUGUCUGAAUAUGGGGGGACCAUCCUCCAAGGCUAAAUACUACUGACUGACCGAUAGUGAACCAGUACCGUGAGGGAAAGGCGAAAAGAACCCCGGAGAGGGGAGUGAAAUAGAACCUGAAACCGUAUGCGUACAAGCAGUGGGAGCC